This is a non-coding RNA of Cinara cedri, 274 nucleotides long. Lineage: Eukaryota; Metazoa; Arthropoda; Insecta; Hemiptera; Aphididae. The record is from the annotation of a GenBank genome assembly.
CAUUUCUAAUAUUGUGUAAGAAAAGUGUUUCAUCUCUUGUAACACUACUGAUAUUGGUUUGGGAUUACCUACGUAUCAAUAUAAAUUUUGAAAAUGUAUUUGAAUAAGAGAUUAUAAAUUUUUUCAAUUUCUUUUUACACAAAUAUUUCGUUAAAAUCGAUUGUACAAAUUUAAUAAAAGGUUAUGAUCCAGAGAAAAUUUCUGUGACAAACAGUCUCAACAUUCGGGCCAGACAGAGAUCGGAAAACUGGAUCCGUAUUAUGACAAAAGGCUA